UUUGAUUCUUUCGGGAUGAAGAGUAUUGUGACUGAGCGGCGGACGGGUGAGUAACGCGUGGGUAACCUGCCUCAUACAGGGGGAUAACAGUUAGAAAUGACUGCUAAUACCGCAUAAGCGCACAGGACCGCAUGGUCCGGUGUGAAAAACUCCGGUGGUGUGAGAUGGACCCGCGUCUGAUUAGCCAGUUGGCGGGGUAACGGCCCACCAAAGCGACGAUCAGUAGCCGGCCUGAGAGGGUGAACGGCCACAUUGGGACUGAGACACGGUCCAAACUCC
Molecule: ribosomal RNA, 279 nt
Filed under: uncultured Eubacteriales bacterium
Lineage: Bacteria; Bacillati; Bacillota; Clostridia; Eubacteriales
Description: uncultured Clostridiales bacterium partial 16S ribosomal RNA
Rfam family: Bacterial small subunit ribosomal RNA
Source: RNAcentral